This is a long non-coding RNA of Coturnix japonica (Japanese quail), 593 nucleotides long. RefSeq lists it as uncharacterized. The record is from RefSeq and is a predicted model, not a curated record. NCBI's taxonomy places the organism in Eukaryota, Metazoa, Chordata, Aves, Galliformes, Phasianidae.
GAACCCCUCCCCAUCUUCCCUGAUCAUCAAGAGCUUCAGUGUCUGGGGAGCUUCGAGGCUGAGUGGAAGUAAGGAUAGUGGGGGCCCAUCAGGGGCCCAGCAGACAGCAUAUGGGGCACUCCAGAGGCCAGGGCAGAGUGACCCUAGCUACCAGAAUGAGAAGAAUCACAUGUUUUCCAGAGUGCCACUGGACAUGAAAAAAAGGUAUCUUUGCCAGAGCUAAAGUACAACAUCCUGGACAUCUCCUUCUCUGAAGAAUUAGCAGGAGACAAAUCAGAAAUAUCUGAGAGGUUUCAUUUUGUAUGAGCUCCUAGAAAUAUCAGACUUUAAUCUCAACCCUUGUAAAACUUAUUAUGUAGGAAAUAGAACUUCAUGUUCUAGGGGUAGGGGGCUGUGUUUCUACUGCAUCUGAUAAGACAUAAACACCCUGAGGACGGAUCAUACAGAAGGAUCAUGAAGUUUUCAUGAACACCAUAAAAUACAGAUCUUAGCCUCUAGCUGAACAAGAACAGAAGCCUCCCAUGGUAUAUUCACAACCCUGAAAAACAAGAAGCAUCAACCUGGAUUUGACAGGGAAGUCUUAAAUUGCAAGU